RNAcentral lists this ribosomal RNA (253 nucleotides) under uncultured bacterium. Its description in RNAcentral is "partial 16S ribosomal RNA". It matches the Rfam family "Bacterial small subunit ribosomal RNA", at positions 524 to 776 of the family's 1533-position model. The record is from RNAcentral.
UACGGAGGAUGCAAGCGUUAUCCGGAAUGAUUGGGCGUAAAGGGUGCGCAGGUGGCAAUGUAAGUCUGCUGUGAAAGCAUGAGGCUUAACCUCAUCAAGGCAGUGGAAACUACAUAGCUAGAGUACGGUCGGGGUAGAAGGAAUUCCUGGUGUAGCGGUGAAAUGCGUAGAGAUCAGGAAGAACACCGGUGGCGAAAGCGUCCUGCUAGACCUGUACUGACACUGAGGCACGAAAGCUAGGGGAGCGAAUGGG